Molecule: ribosomal RNA, 492 nt
Filed under: uncultured bacterium
Lineage: Bacteria
Description: partial 16S ribosomal RNA
Rfam family: Bacterial small subunit ribosomal RNA
Source: RNAcentral
AGUGAACGCUGGCGGUAGGCCUAACACAUGCAAGUCGAACGGCAGCACAGUAAGAGCUUGCUCUUACGGGUGGCGAGUGGCGGACGGGUGAGGAAUACAUCGGAAUCUACUUUUUCGUGGGGGAUAACGUAGGGAAACUUACGCUAAUACCGCAUACGACCUACGGGUGAAAGCAGGGGAUCUUCGGACCUUGCGCGAUUGAAUGAGCCGAUGUCGGAUUAGCUAGUUGGCGGGGUAAAGGCCCACCAAGGCGACGAUCCGUAGCUGGUCUGAGAGGAUGAUCAGCCACACUGGAACUGAGACACGGUCCAGCCUCCUACGGGAGGCAGCAGCGGGGCAUAUUGGACAAUGGGCGGAAGCCUGAUCCAGCCAUACCGCGUGGGUGAAGAAGGCCUUCGGGUUGUAAAGCCCUUUUGUUGGGAAAGAAAAGCAGCAGGUUAAUACCCCGCUGUUCUGACGGUACCCAAAGAAUAAGCACCGGCUAACUUCGUG